GCCGCGCAGCCAGUUAUUCCGCCCCCGGCUCCGCACCCGCGUCUCGGACGUUCCCGCGGCCAACGUUUAGGGCACCAGGCGCUGUGCUAGGCGCCGCGGUUAUAAAGAUAAUCGGUUUUGUUGAGCCCAGGAAUGUUCGGGUUAAUCUGUUUUCUCUAAUCAAACACUUAAUCAUCCAGUCUCUCUGCGUUAUGGAUUCAUGAAUGUGAAGUGAGGAGAGUUGCUCAGUCAAGGUUUUUCACGUACUGCACAUCCAAGCUAGGUAAUGUCUCUGCAACUGCUGCUUCCUGAUGAUUAUAUUCAUCUGAAAUGACUAAGCUUGGUAAAUUAGGCUAAGUCAAGUCUGUGGAGCAGUCAAGGGACGAAUGAAGAAAAGAAUGUAAUGGAGGCUACACCAGAGACGUGGGAAUCUAUCAGCAUGUGGCAAGGAAGGAAGAACAUGGCUAUGUCUUCUAUAUAAAGAGUUGCCUGCAUUCUUCUCAGAAAAAAAAAAGACAAUGGAAAGGCAAUGAGUCAUGAGUCUUGAGUUCUAAGCCUGGUUCUACCAUUUGCUAGCUGUAUGAUAAGAAGCAUGUUUGUUAAACCUCUGAGCCUCAGCUUAUACAUAUACGAAACAGGAAAAAUAGUAACAUAGCCUGCCAUCUUCACGGAUUUGUGAAAAGGUCUUUUAAAUAUCCAAAAAGCUUAGUAUGUAUAAGAAAGAUUAAAUUUAAGCUAUGGGUAUGACACAAAAAUAUACUUGAAAAUUAUUCUUAAAUUUCACCAUAUUUAGGAAGUGGCUAAAUAUAAACAUAAUAUUCCUACUUCUGCAUUUCCUAUUUCUCUCUUUGCAUUUUAAAUUCAGAGGAAGUUAUCUCAUUUAUUAAUUGUAACAUUUAAAUAGUAUACAUUUCUGUCAUUUAAAAGUGGUACUGACAAUGUAGUUAAACCUUUAUUAUCUUUUAUUGGUCUAAUAAAUAAAAGUGCAUGACUAAAAACAGGCCACAAAUAUCAAUGAUUUUGGGGAUUUCGCCCUACAGGAAAAUCAUACAAUGCAUUUGGAAAAAGGUCAUUCUGACUUGUCCUCUACGAAAAUUUCUGCACAAAAGCUUAAAGCACAAGUGUUUACAGGAUUCUUGGUGACAAGAAAAGUGAUAGUAAAUGUGCUUUAGCACUGAAAUUCCUGUAUCCAUGGAGACCUGUGAAGUUCUGUGAGCACACACACACGGCCUGCAGUAUUUAUUGAAGAGCUAAGACAGCGAUCAGUGGGUUACUAUGCUGUGAAAAGCCGACAGAUUGCCAGGAGCUGCUAUGCACAGGCAUGGAUGAGGUUGUUUUUCCCCUGCUAAAUGUAAUUACAGAGAAAUUCAGAAGUCUCAGAUAUUACUGAGAAAAAAAACAUGUUUAUUUAUUUAUAUGUA
Molecule: long non-coding RNA, 1400 nt
Organism: Pan troglodytes (chimpanzee)
Lineage: Eukaryota; Metazoa; Chordata; Mammalia; Primates; Hominidae
Exons: 3
Source: RefSeq, a predicted model, not a curated record